GGGACAGGUCGUGUGGUCCGUUGGGGGAGUUCACAGGGUGAGGAAACGUUUGGUAUCUUUUUUCUUUAUGCAAUUGGAUUUCCGUUGUUGUCGCAA
This 96-nucleotide non-coding RNA is filed under the name Palpitomonas bilix. The record is from RNAcentral.